Molecule: ribosomal RNA, 465 nt
Filed under: uncultured bacterium
Lineage: Bacteria
Description: partial 16S ribosomal RNA
Rfam family: Bacterial small subunit ribosomal RNA
Source: RNAcentral
CCUACGGGUGGCAGCAGUGGGGAAUAUUGCGCAAUGGGCGAAAGCCUGACGCAGCGACGCCGCGUGAGGGAUGAAGGUCUUCGGAUCGUAAACCUCUGUCAGCAGGGAAGAACGGUCACUGUGCUAAUCAGCAGUGAAUUGACGGUACCUGCAAAGGAAGCACCGGCUAACUCCGGGCCAGCAGCCGCGGGAAUACGGAGGGUGCGCGCGUGAAUCGGAAUGACUGGGCGUAAGGCGAUCGUAGGCGGUAUGUCAAGUCAAGGGUGAAAUCCCCGCGCUCAACGUGGGAACUGCCUGUGAAACUGGCAAACUGGAGUGUGUGAGAGGAAAGUGGAAUUCCAGGUGUAGGGGUGAAAUCCGUAGAUAUCUGGAGGAACAUCAGUGGCGAAGGCGACUAUCUGGCACAUAACUGACGCUGAGGAGCGAAAGCGUGGGUAGCAAACAGGAUUAGAUACCCUUGUAGUC